CCUACGGGUGGCAGCAGUGGGGAAUAUUGCACAAUGGGGGAAACCCUGAUGCAGCGACGCCGCGUGAGUGAAGAAGUAUCUCGGUACGUAAAGCUCUAUCAGCAGGGAAGAAAAUGACGGUACCUGACUAAGAAGCCCCGGCUAACUACGUGCCAGCAGCCGCGGUAAUACGUAGGGGGCAAGCGUUAUCCGGAUUUACUGGGUGUAAAGGGAGCGUAGACGGCAGCACAAGUCUGGAGUGAAAUCCCGGGGCUUAACCCCGGAACUGCUUUGGAAACUGGGCGGCUGGAGUGGAGGAGGGGUAAGCGGAAGUCCUAGUGGAGCGGUGAAAUGCGUAGAUAUUAGGAGGAACAACGGUGGGGAAGGCGGGUUACUGGACUGUAAAUGAAGGUGAGGCUCGAAAGCGUGGGGAGCAAACAGGAUUAGAUACCCCGGUAGUC
This 440-nucleotide ribosomal RNA is filed under the name uncultured bacterium. RNAcentral describes it as "partial 16S ribosomal RNA". It matches the Rfam family "Bacterial small subunit ribosomal RNA", at positions 338 to 795 of the family's 1533-position model. The record is from RNAcentral.